GUGCCAGCAGCCGCGGUAAUACGUAGGGUGCAAGCGUUAAUCGGAAUUACUGGGCGUAAAGCGUGCGCAGGCGGCUUUGUAAGUCUGUCGUGAAAGCCCCGGGCUUAACCUGGGAAUUGCGAUGGAGACUGCAAGGCUUGAAUCUGGCAGAGGGGGGUAGAAUUCCACGUGUAGCAGUGAAAUGCGUAGAGAUGUGGGGGAACACCGAUGGCGAAGGCAGCCCCCUGGGUCAAGAUUGACGCUCAUGCACGAAAGCGUGGGGAGCAAAC
RNAcentral lists this ribosomal RNA (269 nucleotides) under uncultured Burkholderiales bacterium. RNAcentral's name for it is "partial 16S ribosomal RNA". It matches the Rfam family "Bacterial small subunit ribosomal RNA", at positions 505 to 773 of the family's 1533-position model. Lineage: Bacteria; Pseudomonadati; Pseudomonadota; Betaproteobacteria; Burkholderiales. The record is from RNAcentral.